CGGGAACCGAGGAGACAGGUGCUGCAUGGCUGUCGUCAGCUCGUGUCGUGAGAUGUUGGGUUAAGUCCGCAACGAGCGCAACCCUUAUCUUUAAUUGCCAGCAUUCAGUUGGGCACUUUAAAGAGACUGCCGGUGUUAAACCGGAGGAAGGUGGGAUGACGUCAAGUCCUCAUGGCCUUUAUGCUUAGGGCUACACACGUGCUACAAUGGGUGGUACAAAGAGAAGCCAACUCGCGAGAGCGCGCCAAUCUCAAAAAGCCAUCCUCAGUUCGGAUUGGAGUCUGCAACUCGACUCCAUGGAGUUGGAAUCGCUAGUAAUCGCGGAUCAGCAUGCCCGCGGUCGAAUACGUUCCCGGGCCUU
This 361-nucleotide ribosomal RNA is filed under the name uncultured Smithella sp. Its description in RNAcentral is "bacterial SSU rRNA". It matches the Rfam family "Bacterial small subunit ribosomal RNA", at positions 1020 to 1382 of the family's 1533-position model. The record is from RNAcentral. Lineage: Bacteria; Pseudomonadati; Thermodesulfobacteriota; Syntrophia; Syntrophales; Smithellaceae.